Tupaia belangeri chinensis (Chinese tree shrew) is the source of this 576-nucleotide long non-coding RNA. RefSeq lists it as uncharacterized. The record is from RefSeq and is a predicted model, not a curated record. The transcript has 3 exons. Lineage: Eukaryota; Metazoa; Chordata; Mammalia; Scandentia; Tupaiidae.
GAUCCUGGCUGGCUAAGGCUGAUGGUGGAUUGCAACAUGGGGAUUCUUGGGGAUAUUUCUCUCUCUCUCAGAAGGGGAAGAAACAGAGGAAGUGGAGAAGAAAAUUCCUGAAUGACACUAGGAGGAAAAUUCAUGAAUACUCAUGAGGAGAAAGGCGGUCUAAGCCGCAGAGAAGUGACCGUGUCAUGAGUAUGUGAGAACUGACACGAAUGUUUGCCAGCUGUUCAGUGGCAUCUAGGUAAUAGUAAUUUUAGACUAACAGCUACUUUGUAGUUGUUGGUGGUAAAUUCUCAACAGUUAGCAUGUCCAGAGAUCCGCUGUUCUGGAAAAUAAAACAGUGUUAGGAUGAGCACAUGUUAGUGACUUAAGGAUAUUUUCUGAUGGAAUAAUCUAGCUAAUAGCUAGAAUAGCUCUCUAAGAGAGUAAUCAUGUACACAGGGCAGAAAUAACUGAUAUAAAUAAGAUAAGGCCUAACAUGCUAUUAAAAAAUUCAAAGCCUAAUGAUCCAAAAAGCAUUCUGGGAUCUUGCAGAACCUUGACUAAUCAUUCUGAAUAUCAAUAAUGAAUGUAACACAG